Molecule: ribosomal RNA, 253 nt
Filed under: uncultured bacterium
Lineage: Bacteria
Description: partial 16S ribosomal RNA
Rfam family: Bacterial small subunit ribosomal RNA
Source: RNAcentral
UACGAAGGGUGCAAGCGUUACUCGGAAUUACUGGGCGUAAAGCGUGCGUAGGUGGUUCGUUAAGUCUGAUGUGAAAGCCCUGGGCUCAACCUGGGAAUGGCAUUGGAUACUGGCGACCUAGAGUGCGGUAGAGGGGUGUGGAAUUCCCGGUGUAGCAGUGAAAUGCGUAGAUAUCAAGAGGAACACCAGUGGCGAAGGCGAGUCCCUGGACAAUACCUGACACUGAGGCACGAAAGCCGGGGGAGCAAACAGG